RNAcentral lists this ribosomal RNA (429 nucleotides) under Bacillota bacterium. RNAcentral's name for it is "Firmicutes bacterium partial 16S ribosomal RNA". It matches the Rfam family "Bacterial small subunit ribosomal RNA", at positions 355 to 776 of the family's 1533-position model. The record is from RNAcentral. Lineage: Bacteria; Bacillati; Bacillota.
UGGGGAAUUUUGGACAAUGGGGGCAACCCUGAUCCAGCAAUGCCGCGUGUGUGAAGAAGGCCUUCGGGUUGUAAAGCACUUUUGUCCGGGAAGAAAUCGCACCUGAUAAUACCGGGUGUGGAUGACGGUACCGGAAGAAUAAGGACCGGCGAACUACGUGCCAGCAGCCGCGGUAAUACGUAGGGUCCAAGCGUUAAACGGAAUUACUGGGCGUAAAGCGUGCGCAGGCGGUUGUGCAAGACCGAUGUGAAAUCCCCGGGCUUAACCUGGGAAUUGCAUUGGUGACUGCACGGCUAGAGUGUGUGGGAGGGGGGUAGAAUUCCACGUGUAGCAGUGAAAUGCGUAGAGAUGUGGAGGAAUACCGAUGGCGAAGGCAGCCCCCUGGGAUAACACUGACGCGCAUGCACGAAAGCGUGGGGAGCAAACAGG